RNAcentral lists this ribosomal RNA (357 nucleotides) under uncultured bacterium. RNAcentral's name for it is "SSU rRNA". It matches the Rfam family "Bacterial small subunit ribosomal RNA", at positions 26 to 377 of the family's 1533-position model. The record is from RNAcentral.
AGGACGAACGCUGGCGGCGUGCCUCAUACAUGCAAGUGGAGCGACGAACCAGGAUUUAUCCUGGGGCAAAGCCGCGAACGGGUGAGUAACACGUGGGUUACCUGCCCCGAUGAUUGGGACAACCCGAGGAAACUCGGGCUAAUACCAAAUGUGCUCCUGGCCGUGAUGGCCUUGAGGAAAGGAAGCUUCGGCCUCCGCAUCGGGAUGGGCCCGCGGCCCAUUAGCUAGUUGGUGGGGUAAAGGCCUACCAAGGCGACGAUGGGUAGCUGGUCUGAGAGGACGAUCAGCCACACUGGGACUGAGACACGGCCCAGACUCCUACGGGAGGCAGCAGUAGGGAAUUUUCCACAAUGGGCG